UGGGGAAUUUUCCGCAAUGGGCGCAAGCCUGACGGAGCAACGCCGCGUGUGGGAAGAAGGCUCUUGGGCUGUCAACCACUUUUCUCAGGGAAGAAGCCCUGACGGUACCUGAGGAAUCAGCCUCGGCUAACUCCGUGCCAGCAGCCGCGGUAAUACGGAGGAGGCAAGCGUUAUCCGGAAUUAUUGGGCGUAAAGCGUCCGCAGGGGGCACAUCAAGUCUGCUGUUAAAGGCUGGAGCUUAACUCCGGUAGAGCAGUGGAAACUGGUGUGCUAGAGGGCGACAGGGGUAGAGGGAAUU
RNAcentral lists this ribosomal RNA (298 nucleotides) under uncultured Chroococcales cyanobacterium. RNAcentral describes it as "partial 16S ribosomal RNA". It matches the Rfam family "Bacterial small subunit ribosomal RNA", at positions 355 to 668 of the family's 1533-position model. Lineage: Bacteria; Bacillati; Cyanobacteriota; Cyanophyceae; Chroococcales. The record is from RNAcentral.